GUACGCGAGCUGGGUUUAGAACGUCGUGAGACAGUUCGGUCCCUAUCUGCCGUGCGCGUUGGAAAUUUGAGAAGAGUCGCUCCUAGUACGAGAGGACCGGAGUGAACGAACCUCUGGUGUUCGGGUUGUCACGCCAGUGGCAUUGCCCGGUAGCUAUGUUCGGAAAGGAUAAUCGCUGAAAGCAUCUAAGCGAGAAGCCUCCUUCAAGACUAGAUUUCCCUGGACCUUCGGGUCCUUAAAGAGCCGUUCAAGACUAGGACGUUGAUAGGCGGGGUGUGUAAGCGCUGCGAGGCGUUGAGCUAACCCGUACUAAUUGCUCGAUAGGCUUGACCAUAUUUCAUCAAA
This 345-nucleotide ribosomal RNA is filed under the name Gammaproteobacteria bacterium. RNAcentral's name for it is "partial 23S ribosomal RNA". It matches the Rfam family "Bacterial large subunit ribosomal RNA", at positions 2596 to 2925 of the family's 2925-position model. The record is from RNAcentral. Lineage: Bacteria; Pseudomonadati; Pseudomonadota; Gammaproteobacteria.